GUUCAUCGAGUCUAGUUUGUAAUGCAACAAACCGCUCGUCAAAAUGAUAUCGGGAUAAGGAGAUAUGGACGAUGCAAGUUGGGCUGGCAGGGCCGCAAGUUUGGACCCGACCCAAACACUCACAUUUCGGCCCAUGAGGCCCAUUAAACUCAAUAGAUAAGUCACCACUUUGCCUUAUAUCAUUUCACACGACCUAAAACAGAUCCAAAACCCUUAUUUUCUCUCCCAAACCCCCUUUCUAAUUGAGCCAUCAUAUAAGCUAAAUCCUAGACCCUUGACAUGAUAUUAGUUAAAGAGAAGUUGUAGCUUAAGUUUUUUUUUGUGUUGUUAAGCAAGCAGCUGGAAAGAGGAACAAGAUUCUUGAAGAUUCCGAUUGCUAAAGGUAAUUUCAACCUCCCACUCAUGUUAUCAAUUUGGAUUAAAGGUUUAAUAUGGUGUAUACGUGAAGGAAACGUUGAUAUACAAGCUAGAGAGAGAGAGAGCAUAAGCCAUGGCAUUCGGCCAUGGCUAGCAAAAUUGGAGCUCAAAUUUGUUGAUCCAAAAAUCAGAUUUUCUAGGUAUUUCAGCCCUUAGGAAGGUGAUAAUAACGUGGAGAAUUCAUUUGGAGCAACAAGAACAAGUAUUAGUGCAUUUCACAAAUUCUAGCUAAGUGGAAAAAGCCAACUUGUUAAGAUUGGUUAUUGGAGUUGCUAGGUUGGUUAUUGUGGUUGUUGCUGUUGAUUUUGAGCGAGUUAAAUUCUCGGGAUGGCCUAUUUACAGGGGAAGUGCUGCCGAAUUUUCUGUAGAAUUUAAUGUUAGUUUGGAAUGAAUGGCUUAAGUGCCUAUGUUUAAUAUUGGAUAUUCGUUGGCAUAUUUGUAGACCUUGGGGAGCCCGAGGCGUAGAUUGGAAUUUACUUUAGAUUGGCUAUCUUGGAGUGCGUACGAGCGUCGGGAGGGUGGCCACGUUCUGUUUGCCGAGUCCCUUGGCAGGGGCCGGAUUUGAUAUGACAUAUGUUUCUGUACACACUCCGCAUGUUUUGAAGAUAUGUAUUUGAUACUUUGGAUUUUCUACUCACUUUUUCUGUACGUUCUGUACCAGUUAUGAUUUUGGUUCUGUAAUUCAGGCUUUACAUAUUCAGUACAUAUUUCGUACUGACCCCCUUUCUUCGGGGGCUGCGUUUUCAUG
Molecule: long non-coding RNA, 1165 nt
Organism: Lycium barbarum (goji berry)
Lineage: Eukaryota; Viridiplantae; Streptophyta; Magnoliopsida; Solanales; Solanaceae
Exons: 3
Source: RefSeq, a predicted model, not a curated record